Molecule: ribosomal RNA, 804 nt
Filed under: Codringtonia parnassia
Lineage: Eukaryota; Metazoa; Mollusca; Gastropoda; Stylommatophora; Helicidae
Description: partial large subunit ribosomal RNA
Rfam family: Archaeal large subunit ribosomal RNA (bases 336-579)
Source: RNAcentral
GCUAACAAAAUAUAUAUUCAACUGAUUUUUCACGAAGAGAGGUGAGCUAAGUAGACAUGCUUUUGGAGCAUAUUACGUUGCAUAGUAAUAAAUAAAUGUGUACUUAGUGGUGAUAGGCCUUCCAUCCCUCUGAAUAUCUUGUUGCGUUUUAAAAAUAUUAAGUAUUUAGGCAGACUAAUAAAGCUAAGCUUGUUAGUAGCUAUUAAUAAUAAAGAAUCUAUGUAGGUGUAGCGUAAUAGCUAGCUUGUAUUUUAAAAAAUAUUGAGUUUAUGGUAUUAUAUAUAUUAUUAUGUUACCGUGUUUAGCUUACCGGGAGAUUAUGUUAGUAUAAGUAAGUAAAGUAAACCUUCCUAAGGAACUCGGCAAGAAAAUACCCAACUGUUUACCAAAAACAUAACUGUAUGAAAUAUUAUGCAGCUUUUUCUGCUCCAUGAUAUAUUAAAUAGCCGCAGUACCCUGACUGUGCAAAGGUAGCAUAAUCAAUUGGCUUCUAAUUAAAGUCUGGUAUGAACGAACGCAUGGGUAGUGACUGUCUUAGGAAUGUUCUUGUGAAGUUAUUAAGUUGGUGCAAAUACCAACGAGUAUAAAAAAGACGAGAAGACCCUAGAAACUUUAAGAUGCUUUUGCUGGGGCGGCAGAAUUGCAUUUAACCAAUUUUAUUUUACGUGAAGCAGCGCAGAAAGGGAAAGUUACUCUAGGGAUAACAGCAUAAUUUAAAUAGUUUGUGACCUCGAUGUUGGACUAGGGAACUUACCCUUUAGAAGGGGGUAAUAGUGGCUCUGUUCGAGCUCUGAGCCCCUACAU